UUGUCUGGCGGCCAUAGCGCAGUGGAACCACCCCUUCCCAUCUCGAACAGGACCGUGAAACGCUGCAGCGCCUAUGAUAGUUGAGGGUCUCCCUC
Molecule: ribosomal RNA, 95 nt
Filed under: Acidithiobacillus ferriphilus
Lineage: Bacteria; Pseudomonadati; Pseudomonadota; Acidithiobacillia; Acidithiobacillales; Acidithiobacillaceae
Source: RNAcentral